Chroicocephalus ridibundus (black-headed gull) is the source of this 2319-nucleotide long non-coding RNA. RefSeq lists it as uncharacterized. The record is from RefSeq and is a predicted model, not a curated record. The transcript has 7 exons. NCBI's taxonomy places the organism in Eukaryota, Metazoa, Chordata, Aves, Charadriiformes, Laridae.
UGAAGGCUUGGAGGCUCCUGCAGCUGGAACAGCUGGACCCAGCUGCGCUGGGGAGUCACACUUGAAUUGCACAUGGCUCAAGAGCCACCCUCUGGUCACUUUGUUCUUUAGCAAACUGCCAAAUAGCUCGAGACCAGAAAUGCGGCACCAAAGCACUUCUAUCCUGUGGGCUGCUCGGGAGACUGACAACACAGAAAGUGCUCUAUACUGAAUGACUGUAAAUUCUGGGAAAACAGGUGGUGAUCUCCUAUAGUUUUCACAAGUUGACGCACAGCAUAUUGCUGUGCAGAUGGAACAAAUAACCAUGUGUUUAUGCUUUGGAUGGGUUUCCAUUGUUUUGAGUGUUCAUCAUACUCCCAUACUACUGGCUGGUCUAUUGAAAAGAUAAGAGGUUAUUUCUGCAGCACAUUACAGAAGAUUUUUCUUAUACACAGUUCUCUGGUUUGAUCUUCAACUUUCAAUCAUCAGAUGAUUGCUCUCUGGAGGAGGUACAACACUGCCCUUCAGUUGCAGUCUCCCUCUAGCAGCUCUCUGGACCCUUUUUUCUUCUGUAAACUCAGCACAUUCAGGUUUCGGUCCAGCUGGCAGUACUACUGGCACAUGAACUCUCAGUCCUCCUAAUGGGCCUGGAGUUGCCUGAAGGAAGAAAGUGCUGCUGUCUGAACAGAUGUAAAAAUUGUCUCCACAAAGAUGGUUUUAAGAAGAUGAAGCUAAUGCUGUCCUAGAAGCUCUCUACAGUCUUACCCAAAAGCUGAUCUAUGGGAUUUCCCGGUUCCUUCAUCCCAAGGAAAGCUGUUGGCUAUCCUUUACCUCCAAAUUUCUCUCUGCCAUGUGGACGAACACAUACAUCUGUUCUGUCUUUUCUUCUUCAGCUUCCUGAAGGCGGAAGGGAGGAGAGCAAGCAGUUUCUCUUGAAUGGACCAGCAGAAAAAGUGUUUACAAUGGGUGAUAGCACUCCGUUCUGCAGGCCUAAAAAAAACCGACUGGUGGGACAGGAUGAGAGGAAUGCUUCUUCUGGAAAGAUCUAAAGAGUUACAGCCGUCUCUAGUGGAGGUUCAUGCUCCUUUCCAGGAGGACUGUGUCCAGCCAAUGUGUCCACAUGCACCAUCCUAACUGUUGCCUGUUGUGGCUUGUGCUGCCCCGUUUUGCUUCAUUUUACAGCAGACCAGGAAGGCGUGGGCAGGAUAGUGUGCAUAUGUUCGGAGUUCCUUAAAUGUAUGGACGGAUUUCAAAAUACGUGGAUUUCGCUGACCCAAGAACCAAACCGACCCCAAGAAAUCUGCAGUCUAAGGAUGUCAGAGCACAGUCUUGCAUCGUCCUCUUUGGGGUGUAUACCAGUCCACAGAGGGCGACUGUGAAAGACUGUGGCCACAAGGCUGGUGCCACUCCUUACGUGAGAAGGAAGGCUUUCGGAACAGUUGACUUACCUCUGGAGAGCUGUAUGUCAGUCCAGUGAAGGAACACAGAAGAAGAAAACGUUAAUACUUUACUCUGGGCUUGUUUAAGGUUAGAUAGGUUUAUUAGCAUUUUUAUAACAAAAUCAAAGUGAAAGUGACAGAAAAAAUGCCCAUUUCAAGACAUUUCACCCAGAACUUCUAGCCAUGCACAUGUUUGUUAGUUUGCAUUCACAUCUCUGAUUGAUCUCAAUAGAUAAAAAUGUACUGCAAAUUUCCUUGACUGAAUCAGGUAAGGUUACUUUUUAGGUGUACUAAUUAGAAACGUGUGUUUAGUGGUAAACAACGCUGGCUUUAUGUUUAUGGAUCUUUACAUCACUUAAGUACUUUUCCUGUCCUUGAAAAUAUUUGUGCUCAAAAGUUCUUUGUAAAAUGAGUCAUAAAAGGCAGCAGUCAAACUGGAGAGGUAUGCAGGUGCUAAAGCUCUUAACAAUAUUUCUUUUAUCGUUUUUUUAAAAAAAAGAGGGAUUUAUUUUACAGUUAAUCCCUAACUCUUUUUUUUUUUUUUUGAGAUGACAUUGAAAAAAUAGUGAUGUGGGAAGAAAACCUGCUUUAAUCAAUUUAUGACUUUUGUUUUUAAACAAGGUAAAUAUUCUUCUAGUAUUCUGUGAAUGUGUCAGAAUAUUUUAACCAUUUGUUCUGCUUGCUAUCUUAGUUUGAAAAUCUUGGGAUAAAAAGUACUUUCCUUUACUGUGUGAGGCUGCCUACUUCUAAGAAAUCCAUGCUGAGGUCCCAUAAGGGCUGUUUCAUAACAAACUUAUAAUUACUUAGUCAAUGAAUUUCUGGUGCAUGAUAUAAUUGAAAGUAUUUUCAUUCUUGAUUUGUUACAGAAACAAGCUUUGAACGAUUUUGUUAAAGACUGAUA